CCUACGGGAGGCAGCAGUGGGGAAUAUUGCACAAUGGGGGAAACCCUGAUGCAGCGACGCCGCGGGAGUGAAGAAGUAUUUCGGUAUGUAAAGCUCUAUCAGCAGGGAAGAAAAUGACGGUACCUGAUUAAGAAGCCCCGGCUAAAUACGUGCCAGCAGCCGCGGUAAUACGUAGGGGGCAAGCGUUAUCCGGAUUUACUGGGUGUAAAGGGAGCGUAGACGGCAGCACAAGUCUGGAGUGAAAUGCCGGGGGUUAACCCCCGAACUGCUUUGGAAACUGUGCAGCUAGAGUGCAGGAGAGGUAAGUGGAAUUCCUAGUGUAGCGGUGAAAUGCGGAGAUAUUAGGAGGAACACCAGUGGCGAAGGCGGCUUACUGGACUGUAACUGACGUUGAGGCUCGAAAGCGUGGGGAGCAAACAGGAUUAGAUACCCGAGUAGUC
Molecule: ribosomal RNA, 440 nt
Filed under: uncultured bacterium
Lineage: Bacteria
Description: partial 16S ribosomal RNA
Rfam family: Bacterial small subunit ribosomal RNA
Source: RNAcentral